ACAAGCGGUGGAGUAGUGUGGUUUAAUUCGAUGCAACGCGAAGAACCUUACCUAGGUUUGACAUCCGGAAGACCUUCCCGAAAAGGAAGGGUGCCCUUCGGGGAAUUCCGAGACAGGUGCUGCAUGGCUGUCGUCAGCUCGUGCCGUGAGGUGUUGGGUUAAGUCCCGCAACGAGCGCAACCCUAUUGCCAGUUGCUACCAGGUAAUGCUGGGCACUCUGGUGAGACUGCCCCGGUUAACGGGGAGGAAGGUGGGGACGACGUCAAGUCAUCAUGGCCCUUACGCCUAGGGCUACACACGUACUACAAUGGCGCAUACAAAGGGCAGCGAUACCGCGAGGUGGAGCCAAUCCCAAAAAGUGCGUCCCAGUCCGGAUUGCAGUCUGCAACUCGACUGCAUGAAGUUGGAAUCGCUAGUAAUUCGAGAUCAGCAUGCUCGGGUGAAUGCGUUCCCGGGCCUU
This 460-nucleotide ribosomal RNA is filed under the name uncultured Desulfovibrio sp. Its description in RNAcentral is "bacterial SSU rRNA". It matches the Rfam family "Bacterial small subunit ribosomal RNA", at positions 925 to 1382 of the family's 1533-position model. Lineage: Bacteria; Pseudomonadati; Thermodesulfobacteriota; Desulfovibrionia; Desulfovibrionales; Desulfovibrionaceae. The record is from RNAcentral.